RNAcentral lists this ribosomal RNA (253 nucleotides) under uncultured bacterium. RNAcentral describes it as "partial 16S ribosomal RNA". It matches the Rfam family "Bacterial small subunit ribosomal RNA", at positions 524 to 776 of the family's 1533-position model. The record is from RNAcentral.
UACGUAGGUGACAAGCGUUGUCCGGAUUUACUGGGCGUAAAGAGCGCGCAGGCGGUCGUUCAAGUCGAGUGUGAAAGCCCCCGGCUCAACUGGGGAGGGUCACUCGAUACUGAUCGACUCGAAGGCAGGAGAGGGAAGUGGAAUUCCCGGUGUAGUGGUGAAAUGCGUAGAUAUCGGGAGGAACACCAGUGGCGAAGGCGACUUCCUGGCCUGUUCUUGACACUGAGGCGCGAAAGCUAGGGGAGCAAACGGG